UUGGAGGGCAAGUCUGGUGCCAGCAGCCGCGGUAAUUCCAGCUCCAAUAGCGUAUAUUAAAGUUGUUGCAGUUAAAAAGCUCGUAGUUGAAUUUCGGGAUUAGUACGUUGGUCGUGCCUUAGGUACGUACUGGUGUUACUGGUUCCUACCUACUGACGAACCAUCAUGUCAUUAAUUUGGUGUGGUGGGGAAUCAGGACUGUUACUUUGAAAAAAUUAGAGUGUUUUAAGCAGGCUCGCGCUUGAAUACAUUAGCAUGGAAUAAUGAAAUAGGACGUUGAUCCUAUUUUGUUGGUUUCUAGGAUUGACGUAAUGAUUAGUAGGGAUAGUUGGGGGCAUUAGUAUUCAAUUGUCAGAGGUGAAAUUUUUGGAUUUAUUGAAGACUAACUACUGCGAAAGCAUUUGCCAAGGAUGUUUUCAUUAAUCAAGAACGAAAGUUAGGGGAUCGAAGACGAUCAGAUACCGUCGUAGUCUUAACCAUAAACUAUGCCGACUAGGGAUCGGAUGAUGUUAUUUUUAAUGACUCAUUCGGCGCCUUACGGGAAAC
Molecule: ribosomal RNA, 546 nt
Filed under: uncultured Glomus
Lineage: Eukaryota; Fungi; Glomeromycota; Glomeromycetes; Glomerales; Glomeraceae
Description: SSU rRNA
Rfam family: Eukaryotic small subunit ribosomal RNA
Source: RNAcentral